RNAcentral lists this ribosomal RNA (253 nucleotides) under uncultured bacterium. RNAcentral's name for it is "partial 16S ribosomal RNA". It matches the Rfam family "Bacterial small subunit ribosomal RNA", at positions 524 to 776 of the family's 1533-position model. The record is from RNAcentral.
UACGAAGGGGACUAGCGUUGUUCGGAAUUACUGGGCGUAAAGCGCACGUAGGCGGAUUUGUUAGUCAGGGGUGAAAUCCCGGGGCUCAAUCUCGGAACUGCCUUUGAUACUGCAAAUCUCGAGUCCGAUAGAGGUGGGUGGAAUUCCUAGUGUAGAGGUGAAAUUCGUAGAUAUUAGGAAGAACACCGGUGGCGAAGGCGGCCCACUGGAUCGGUACUGACGCUGAGGUGCGAAAGCGUGGGGAGCAAACAGG